Molecule: long non-coding RNA, 490 nt
Filed under: Lupinus angustifolius (narrow-leaved blue lupine)
Lineage: Eukaryota; Viridiplantae; Streptophyta; Magnoliopsida; Fabales; Fabaceae
Description: long non-coding RNA (LANG_LNC003253)
Source: RNAcentral
ACGGUCGGAGAAUAAUUUGUACAAGAUAAGCAUUUUUGAUGCGUUGUUUAGAAUUAUAGAUUAGUAGAUCUAGAAUUUUGAUUUGAUAUAUUUUUUUACUUUGUGGUCUCGCCAGCUAGUUCUGUCUGUUUUUAAUGUAAUUAUAAUUAUUUGAAUGAUUUCUACGUUAACUGUCCCAUCCCAUGUGUAGCCUCCAUUGCAGGUAAAAGUUGCAACUUAUUGUGGCUAUUAGAUCACUAUUUGAGAUUUUUUAUACAAUUCAUCAUACCUCUGAUCUGUACUUUUAUACUGUUUCAGUCAGCAAAAAGUUACAGAAGAUUCAGUAAUUUAACAUGCAUACAUUCCAGCCUGCAAAUUCAGCAAACGAUUAAGUUUCAUUGUCUAUCAAUUAAUCACAUAUAUAAAUAAAUAAAUAUAUAUUGUUGAGGUUUUAAGUUAGGAUAAGGAAAUAAUCUAUGUCAAAUUGUCAUUUGUAACAAGUAUUGCUCCC